RNAcentral lists this ribosomal RNA (262 nucleotides) under uncultured bacterium. Its description in RNAcentral is "partial 16S ribosomal RNA". It matches the Rfam family "Bacterial small subunit ribosomal RNA", at positions 962 to 1225 of the family's 1533-position model. The record is from RNAcentral.
CGCAGAACCUUACCACCUUUUGACAUGCCUGGACCGCCAGAGAGAUCUGGCUUUCUCUUCGGAGACUAGGACACAGGUGCUGCAUGGCUGUCGUCAGCUCGUGUCGUGAGAUGUUGGGUUAAGUCCCGCAACGAGCGCAACCCUCGCCAUUAGUUGCCAUCAUUUAGUUGGGAACUCUAAUGGGACUGCCGGUGCUAAGCCGGAGGAAGGUGGGGAUGACGUCAAGUCCUCAUGGCCCUUACAGGGUGGGCUACACACGUGC